Molecule: ribosomal RNA, 497 nt
Filed under: uncultured bacterium
Lineage: Bacteria
Description: partial 16S ribosomal RNA
Rfam family: Bacterial small subunit ribosomal RNA
Source: RNAcentral
GAUGAACGCUGGCGGCGUGUCUAAUACAUGCAAGUCGAGCGAACAGACGAGGAGCUUGCUCCUCUGACGUUAGCGGCGGACGGGUGAGUAACACGUGGAUAACCUACCUAUAAGACUGGGAUAACUUCGGGAAACCGGAGCUAAUACCGGAUAAUAUAUUGAACCGCAUGGUUCAAUAGUGAAAGACGGUUUUGCUGUCACUUAUAGAUGGAUCCGCGCCGCAUUAGCUAGUUGGUAAGGUAACGGCUUACCAAGGCAACGAUGCGUAGCCGACCUGAGAGGGUGAUCGGGCACACUGGAACUGAGACACGGUCCAGACUCCUACGGGAGGCAGCAGUAGGGAAUCUUCCGCGAGGGGCGAAAGCCUGACGGAGCAACGCCGCGUGAGUGAUGAAGGUCUUCGGAUCGUAAAACUCUGUUAUUAGGGAAGAACAAAUGUGUAAGUAACUAUGCACGUCUUGACGGUACCUAAUCAGAAAGCCACGGCUAACUACGUG